CCCUCUCUCCCUCUGCCCCUCCCCCUGCUCUCUCUCUCUCAAAUAAAUAAAUAAAAAUCUUAAAAACAAAACAAAACAAGACAGUGUAUUUUGACAGCCAGUGGUGCACAGAGAAAAGAUUAUAUCACCUUCAGGGGGAAAAAAGGAACUUAUUAUUCACAAGUUUUUUUUUUCCAGUAUGGAGAUGAAUGUUUUUGCCAUUUCCACUUGGGCUUGGAUACUUUCUUCUGGAUAGAAGUAAAGUAAGUCUAACUUCUUUUGCUGUGCAGGCUGCCCAAGCAUAAUAUCAAAAUACAGUCCUCAUGUGACUCCAGCUCACACCCUCAGGCUCCUCGGCCAUCCCUCAUGGUUUCCAAUCCUUCACUGUGUCUUCUCACUGCGUGUCCCUCAUUUCUCCCCAGCUAACUAUAAGAAACUGAACUUUUAAGACCCGACUCUGGAAAACCUUUCCAAGUUCUCCGUGACCAUUACAUAUUCCAUGCGCUCUAGUCACUGUCCUCUCGGUCUCCCCCCUCAACAUCAAUAUUUAUGGAACUUGACACGCCGGCCAGUGUGCCCGCGGCCUUAUCCAGAAUCUCACUGAAUCUUCAUAAGAGCCCCAUGGGACAGUUCUAAUUCUGCCUCAAUUUCAGAAGGGACAAAAUUGAGGCAUCGAGAAAUUAACUAACUUGCUUAGAUCACACAGUGUCUAAAUGGUGAGGCCAGGGUUCAAAAUCAGAUGAAGAGUUCAGGGUCCUGGCUCAUAAGCACCGCGCUCCACAGCCUCCUACAGUCUCUUCUAUAUCUGCAGACUGCUCCUUGCCCUGUGCCUGGCACAUCGUGAACACAGAUAUUUGCUGAGUGAAUGAAUGAUCCAUAGUCAUCUUCUUCUACAUAACGCCAUUUAUUAAUUUCUUCCUGAGACUGUAACGCCUCAUAUUGAAAACACUACUGCAAGUGUUUUUUGACCAGAAAAAAUAAACGACAUAGGUGGGAAGUCAAAUAAUACCACCCCCCCCCAGAAAAGAUGUAUAUAUACGAAAGCCCUGAAAUUAUGAAUAUGCCACAUUGAAUAGCAAGAGAAACUUUACAGACAUGAUUAAAUUAAAGAUUUUGAGAUGGGGAGACUAUCCAGGCAGACCCAAGGCCCCAAGUUCCCUAAAAGAGGAAGACAUGGGGGGUCAGAGGCAGAAAGGGCAUGUGUUGAGAGAAGCAGGCAUUGCAGUUGGAGAAAUCUGAAGAUGCUACCUUGUAGGCCUUGAAAAUGGAGGAAGGGACAUCCAUAAGCCAGUGAACACAGGCCUCCAGAAUCUGGAAAAAGCAAGAAAACGGACCUCCCCUCCAGCCUCCAGAAGGAACCCAGCCUUGCUGACAAAUUGGUUUCAGACUUCUGGCCUCCAGAACUGUAGGAAAAUGAAUUUGUAUUUUGUCAAGCCAAUAAAGUAUACUUUACCGUAACAAACUUUAGCAGUUGGGGGCACAGGCAAAAAAAAAAUUGAGCACAGAUACUUUUCUUGAUGUGGUUAUUUUGUUUCUACUGAUAACUCAGCCUAUUGGUAUAGUCCUUUUGAUAGUAGGCACGUUGGACUUUCAGACUGCAAGUAGAUGAAAACAUAGAUUCUCUUCAUUUUCAUGUUCUUCUUUAACGCAUCUGGAUGCCUGUCCUCUCAUGUCACCAGCUCCUCUGGAUUGUCAUCACCCUCCUAGUGCCUGCUGCGGCUGCUGCUCCGUUAGAGAAGACUGACAGAGAGGGUGGAGUCCAAUGUGUCUUUCAUUCUAGUGGGAUAAAGGGUCAGGGAGGCAGGCUCCUUCCUGCCUCCCUGGGGAAGCAGAGAGGCAGUGAGAAAAAGAGGGAAGCAUUUCAACAGAAAUCAAGAUGAAGAGCUCAACAAGAGACAUAUGAAGAUUCUUGCAGGACUAAGCUCCAGGAGCACAAAAAUGUUUGCCUGUUUUCCCCACUGGCAAACUAUUCCUAGCACCUACAGCAGGUGCUAGGCAGGUAACAAGCAAGUUAUUUAUUUAAUGACUGAAUGUGGACUGUGUUAAGGACAUGAAGGAUGAAGUUCAGAUCAAGUCCUAAAAGAUGGAUUUGCUGGUUUGAAGGUGACAAGCAUUUAUAGCAGAUUGGAGCUGGGGAAGCCACGAGAAGCCCCUUUAUCAUUCCCAGCUCACUGUAAUGACUCCACUUGCACCCUGCUUUAGGAGUGCUACUGAAAAUAGUUUUGUUUUGUUUUUGUUUUUGUUUGGUUUGUUUGUUUAGAGUGUGAACUUUUGAACAUGAAAAGAUCAAGCAGAAACUCAUCUGAGUGUGGGCUGAUGUAUGCUUUGCCCAGGAUUUCCACUUUUCCGGAUCCAUCCUAUAAAAACCUCCUGAAAUGAAACAGUGGAAGUUCAUUCAGCUCUAAUCCAGCUGUGAUGAGAGACAAGGGGGCUAGCUAAAAAUGUGAAUCAGUGGGCUGAGUGCCCCAAGGGAAGGUACCUGUAAUAUUUUGACAGAAUUAUCAGUCAUGGGACUGGAGCAGAAAUUAGCAGAGCAUCUCCACAGUUGGGGGAGGGAGGGACAUCUCCCUCCUCUCCCGGGAGUGGGAGUGUGCCCAUCAGCUAGGACAGUGGUCCCGGUUUCCAACACUUCUCAUGAUUGCGGAAGUUCUCUGAGUAAGGUGCUCCAGGAGGCAGAGGUUUGCAGACUGCCCCCAUCCAACCCUAGGAGGUGCCCUACCAUCUGGGGUUUGUUCAGGGACCUGCUGGGUAACCAGAAGGGUUGCCUGCCCUCUUCUGGACCAGGUAACCAGGAGUCAGCUAAGAGAGCCUCUGUCUUUUCCCACCCCUUCCUCCUUCCCACACCUCUUUCCUCCUCUGCUUGGCUUGAGGCCAAACUGUCAUCUAAGGAGGAAAGGUAAAGAACUUUAAUUCGGGUUUUGAAAUUCAAACUCAUAACAACCUUGUAAAUUUGAUAGCAAUCACCAAUUGCCCUCUACAAAGGAAGUUCGAUUUCAUACUUCUUGAAUAGUUUCCCUGACACCUUGAUGAAAUACAUUAAGCUCAUUAACCUUAAUUUUUGCCAGUCUGAUUUCUCAUUAUUAUCUACGUUUUCUUAAACAAUGUUAGUAUAAAAAGACAA
Long non-coding RNA from Lutra lutra (Eurasian river otter), 3100 nucleotides. RefSeq lists it as uncharacterized. The record is from RefSeq and is a predicted model, not a curated record. The transcript is spliced from 3 exons. NCBI's taxonomy places the organism in Eukaryota, Metazoa, Chordata, Mammalia, Carnivora, Mustelidae.